RNAcentral lists this ribosomal RNA (472 nucleotides) under uncultured organism. RNAcentral's name for it is "partial 16S ribosomal RNA". It matches the Rfam family "Bacterial small subunit ribosomal RNA", at positions 333 to 797 of the family's 1533-position model. The record is from RNAcentral.
ACACUCCUACGGGAGGCAGCAGUGGGGAAUUUUGGACAAUGGGGGCAACCCUGAUCCAGCAAUGCCGCGUGAGUGAAGAAGGCCUUCGGGUUGUAAAGCUCUUUUGUCAGGGAAGAAACGGUGGUGGCGAAUAACUACUACUAAUGACGGUACCUGAAGAAUAAGCACCGGCUAACUACGUGCCAGCAGCCGCGGUAAUACGUAGGGUGCAAGCGUUAAUCGGAAUUACUGGGCGUAAAGCGUGCGCAGGCGGUUGUGUAAGUCAGAUGUGAAAUCCCCGGGCUCAACCUGGGAAUUGCAUUUGAGACUGCACGGCUAGAGUGUGUCAGAGGGGGGUAGAAUUCCACGUGUAGCAGUGAAAUGCGUAGAUAUGUGGAGGAAUACCGAUGGCGAAGGCAGCCCCCUGGGAUAACACUGACGCUCAUGCACGAAAGCGUGGGGAGCAAACAGGAUUAGAUACCCUGUAGUCCCA